RNAcentral lists this transfer RNA (75 nucleotides) under Microcaldota archaeon. Its description in RNAcentral is "tRNA-Arg". It matches the Rfam family "tRNA". Rfam says of the family: Transfer RNA (tRNA) molecules are approximately 80 nucleotides in length. Their secondary structure includes four short double-helical elements and three loops (D, anti-codon, and T loops). Lineage: Archaea; Nanobdellati; Microcaldota. RNAcentral also lists the same sequence under 3 other names. The record is from RNAcentral.
GGGCAUGUGGCGCAACUUGGAUAGCGCGCCUGGCUUCGGACCAGGUGGUUGCGGGUUCAAAUCCCGUCAUGCCCG